UACAGAGGUGGCAAGCGUUGUUCGGAAUUACUGGGCGUAAAGGGCGAGUAGGUGGCCAUCUAAGUCAGACGUGAAAUCCCCCGGCUUAACCUGGGAACUGCGUCUGAUACUGGACGGCUAGAGUAUGGGAGAGGAAUGUAGAAUUCCAGGUGUAGCGGUGAAAUGCGUAGAUAUCUGGAGGAAUACCGGUGGCGAAGGCGGCAUUCUGGACCAUUACUGACACUGAAUCGCGAAAGCUAGGGGAGCAAACGGG
RNAcentral lists this ribosomal RNA (253 nucleotides) under uncultured bacterium. Its description in RNAcentral is "partial 16S ribosomal RNA". It matches the Rfam family "Bacterial small subunit ribosomal RNA", at positions 524 to 776 of the family's 1533-position model. The record is from RNAcentral.